This is a long non-coding RNA of Pygocentrus nattereri (red-bellied piranha), 5145 nucleotides long. The record is from Ensembl. NCBI's taxonomy places the organism in Eukaryota, Metazoa, Chordata, Actinopteri, Characiformes, Serrasalmidae.
AUCCUGUGGUUUAAUUUGAAAUGUGAUCAGUGAUGCUGCUGGGAGGGGUCAUGAGACAGUCAUGUAACUCUGACUCUCAAAAAAAGAAGAGGAACCGACUAAACCAGAGAGAAAAGGAGACGGAAACACACUGGGAGGACUACACAUUACAAAGAUAAGUGGAAUUUAACUUUGAGGAGAGCAAACAUAUUGAACUGUGAAGGUAGCAGACUGGGGUUCGUGUGAAGAUCAAUGAAGCUGAAGUUCAGUUCAGGAUGAAGAUCCUCCUCCUCUGCCUGAUCUUAGCAUUCUACAGGAGCACAUCAACAGCACCAACAGCAACUUACAGUACCACCUCAGCAGAACCACUAACAACAGCAUCUUACAGUAGGAGGUCAACAGUACCAACAGCAACAUUUUACAGGAGUACAUCAGGCAAAGCAGCACACACCUCUGGUGAACAUUUCAGUUCCUCUGUCAUCACCACUGUAUGUGUCUGUGUGGCUCUGCUGCUGAUGGGAGGAUCAGCACUGAUGUACAAACUGAGAUGCCAGAAAACACAAAAUUCUGCUUUCAGCAGCAGGCAAUCAGGAACAAAUGAAUCAGUUUAUAAUAAUUAUGAAAUUGACCAACCUGGGAACCUGGAUAACAUCAGCAUGAGUUCAGUCUACCAGAACCUGAAACCCAACACCAGCCAAACAGAUUCAGUUUACCAGAGUCUUGACCCCAUAAGAAAUAGACCAGAUUCGGUCUACCAAAGUCUAAAACCCAACACUGAUUGACCAAUUCAUGCUCUGUUAAAAAAUGUGUAGUAACAUAUCAAUUGUUGCCAGAUUGGCUAUUUAAAAGCACAUCUAAAUUUUUGUCAUAAACUUGGAGCUACUGUGAUUAAAUUGUGCUUUAACUUUACAGACACUUUAUGGAUUUUGGCCUCUAUUUUUAAUGAUGAAAUGUGUGCAACAAAUGUGUAGAAGUUUAAUAUGAACUUUCUUUAUUCAUUUGGUGACAAAAGUUCUGAGAAAAAGAUGAAAUUAUUUUAGUCAGUAAUGAAAAAUCUUCACAAGCACGUUACCUCAUUUAAAAAGAAAUAAUAGCUUAUAGCUUCACUUUUGCAAAAAAAUGAUAGGGCCUUAUGAAUGUACUAGAACAGUUAUCAACAUUAUCAAUAACAGUUAUUUUUUUCCAAUACUCUUUUCUAACAUUGCUCUCACUUACAUGCACCUGGGGCUUAUUGUCAAGACUUUGAAUCAAUUUCAGAUGUUUUCCCUCUUUAAAAGAACAAGUCACACCCGGCCAAGAAACUGCUUAUCAGUCAACUGUCCAAUUACUUUUGAGCCUGUGAAAAUGGAGGGACUGUAGUUCCUAAAUGGUCAAUGCAAUGUUUUUGUUAAACCCUUUUAAUUAAAUCUGACAGUGUUGUUAUUAAAUAAAAAAUCCAAUAAUAGUACAGACUGGCAGAGGGGAAUUAGUCAACUAAACCAAGACCCACAGUAACUAACUCUUACAUUGUGUAAAGUGAAACUGAAGAAAAGAUGAAGUUGCAAUACAGCUAGCAUCAUCCAAGUGGGCACAGUCAGUGUGUAUUCCGCUGCCACAGUACCCCGGGGAAAGACACAGGGAGCUGUAGGUAAAAGUACUCAGAUGCUUGUGGACUUGCUGCCAGAGCAACACAAUGAUUCUCCAAUACGUUUUUACAGAUGCUGGUAAUAUUACAGAUAGACCUACUGGCAGCAGAGCUGAGUACUAUAAUGCAGCUGAUUUAUCCAGGGUUUGGGGUGGCAGUUCAGGAGGAGUUAAUGCUGGAGUAUUUUUUAAUUGUGGUGCUACUAGAGAAGCUAGAGAGGCAACAAACUGGCCAGUCUCCAAGCUACUGUUAAUAACGCUGAGGUGGAGUCAGUAAGGAAAAAGGAUGAAAGUUGGUGGUUUUGUGUUGACAGCAGCUCAAGGCUGUAACUAAAACCAAACUAUAUGCAUUCCCAUGCACUGGUGAUGCUUUGGACCAGCUUGUCGGCUCCACAUGGUUCAGUUCACUGAAUCAACAGCAUGAGUACUGCCAGGUGGCAUUUGCUCUGGAGACCAGAAAAAGAUGCUCUUCACGCUGGGUGCCGGACUGUGGCGUUUAAUGCUAAUGGUUUUCGGCCUCCAAAAUGCACCGGCUAUGUUUGAGUGGCUGAUGGAACCAGGGAUCAUAAGUGUCCCUAAAGACUGGUUUAUUUCAGGAAUAAAAAUGUUCUAUUCAGCAUCAUGCUGGGUGCAUACACUAGACUUGAUGUUGUAAGCCCUGAGGAUUUCCACUUUGCCCAGAUGAGAGACUUUUCUGGUAAUGUGGUUGUCUUCAGGCAGGGCAGACACCAGAAUGAACAGACAGAACACCACAGGUGCUCUGCACAGGUUGGGACAGCCUCCAGUUAUGCAUAGGGCUGCUGCACAAUGUGUGAGAGGAGCCAGUGCCCAGUAAGCAUUUCGGGCAGGAGCUGUUGCCACACAGCCUCCCCAAAAUAGUGCUGGGCUUGGUGCAUGGGGUGUCUGGUGUGGGUCAUUUUGGGAUGAGCAAAACCCUGAAGUGGCUGCAGCAGAGAUUCUACUGCCCAGGCUGUUGUCUGGACAUGGAGCUCUAAGUGAACUACUACAACUGAUUUGGCCAAGAAAGGACUGCCAUAGCUGUAGCACACCCCACUGCAGUGUCCUGAUGGAGAGGGUGGGUGUGGAUGUCCUGAGCCUUUUCCCAUCACUGAGACCAGAAAUGUACAUACUCAUGAAUUAUUUAAUUAAAUGUCUUGAGUCGAGUCAAGUGUGACAUUGACAGCAGAGUGACUGGUAUAGGAGUUUUUCUGCUGGUUUUGCAGGCAAGAGCAGCUCCAAGUUGUCUCUCAGAGUGAUGGUCUCAUUGAGGCGCAACUUUGGUGGUCAUGCCUAGGGUUUGUAGCCAGCUGGGCAUCUGAAAGACUCGGAACACAUCACUCCACCCUCAGAGUGACGGCCUUGUGGAGCAUUUUAAUUGAAUGCCCACUAUUCAGCUUGUCAUCCUUAACACUAAUCUUCCACGAGCUACGAAAAUUUUCGUAAGGGAAACCAGCGACCAUGUAGCCCACUCCCCUGCUGUGAAGCGAUUAACGCCCAUUGUCUUGGUAAUGAUAUGGAGUGCGGUGGAAGUGGAAACCCCCCAUGCCCACAGAAAGCUCCUACAGCUCCCAAAGCACCUAACAUGACACAACUUGAAGGUGAACUUCAAGUUACAACCCGAGUGUAUAUGUUACCGAUCCGACAGCGCGACGGAGAAUCUGUAGAAUCGUGUUUCAAAAGUUAUAAUUCAAGGGCACGUAGUAGCGACGGACGGAGCAGUGGCGAUUUCUCUAAGACUGCCAGGGAAGCUCAGCUUGCCCUAAAAUGUCAAAUAUGUUCAGUUGUGUUAACAUUUCAUUCACUACAAAUGCGUUAAAAGCUGAGUGUCUUUUCACUUCAACAGGUCCGCUCAUUCAAACGGGACGUUUUUUUCAUUGCUUCGAAACUCGCCGUCAUUGGAUAAAUGCCACGAUUUUGUCCCGCCCCCGAACGCAGAGCGUCUCUGUGGUGAAUGGAGCUGUGGGCGGGUCUGGACGCGGAGCUUCUGCAAAAUGAUUGAAGGAUCAGACGAAAGGAUGAAUCCUGUUUUGAUUGACAGCUAUUUUUACCCAUUUACGUCAAAAGACAAACUGCAACCCAUUUCUUGGCGUUUACUUGGUGAAAUUACUUGUGCAUUUCCGUUGUUCAUUGUGUAAAUAAAACACACUCCUAGUAUUUCCUUGUUUCAGUUUAACAUAAUUUCAACAUUUCCUUGUACGAGUUUAAUUUCGUUUCGUUAGUUUGUUCAGUCAGUCGUUCAUACUGCUGGCAAGGUCGAAGUGAACUAGCCAGCAAACAAGGUUCACACACAGAGCUGCUGUCUCAGUCCUCCUCUGUGAAUUAACAUAAUAAAGGGUGAUGUAUGGUCCUGCUAAUUGCUGGCAAGAAGGAGGGGUGAUGUCCUGAGGAUCUUGAAAUCUCAGGAGGGCUAGUGUUAAUGACUAGCACAGUUGAGACCGACAUUUGCCCCUGAUCCUGCUCAACUGCUGGUUUGCUGAACAGGGGCCAACUGGGUUCAAUCCAGCUCUGCUUAUGUUUGAUGCUCAGGAUACCUAUGGAGCUGUUCUUUGUGAGCCCAAAUUACCAUAAGCUAAUAUGCUAAGGCAUUGCACAAGCAUCUCCAUGUUUUGCAACAGCUCACCACAGAACAUCAGGGCAAGGCCAGCGCCCACCAGAAAUGAUGGGUGUGCCUCAAAGGUGGUGCUACCCUAAACUGCAAUCAUUCUGGGAAGGCCAUUGUGCGGUAAAAGAAUGCUUGGCUGAGGUGGUGUAUCUGGUCUUGGCAGGAAGGUGGACUGUUAUAGUUCAUAGGGAUGGAUAUAUGGGCCCUGUGAACAAGAGACCAUGCCAAGCUAAGUGAAACUGUCACUUUAGGGCUCUUGCCCCAAGAAAGAGUUGGAAGCCUCCAGAGCAGAGGUGCUUCCCCAGAUUCUUGUGCUGACCAAGACAGUGGACAUUCUGAGACCCCUGCAGUGAGACCUUUUAUGUUGUGCUUGAAAUAAUAUGGCAUAUUUCAAGCAAAUAAUUCUGACUCUUCUUCAGGAGGCCUACCCAAAAUUUAUGAAGAGGUUACUGCUGCAGUUAUUUUGAAGCAGAACUGUAAAAGUGAGAGAACGUGUUUCAGUUACAUUUAAAAAAAAAAACAAAUGAGACCCUUUGAUUUAAUUGGCAGGUUCAAUGGGCUUCUUUAAUGUGAUCGGCCACCCAAGGGAUAGCGUCAUAAUCAACUUAUGGUGUGAUUUUCAUAAAACAGACUAAAAAUAUUAAUAAAAACUCUGCAUUUAAAUCUGACCUUGAUUUAUUCCUAUGGUCAUAAUCUUUCUGUAAGGUCAGGAAGCUGGGAAUGUCUUACUUUCCGAAAAAGUUAGAUGUGCAGAAAGGUUAAAUUGGAUCACUGCUAAAUAAGAUUUCAAACGUUAUGAGAAUUGGCAAUAUUCUUCAAUAAAUCAAUCAAUGAAUAUAAAAUAAUAAUUUUUAAAAAAUGCAGCCAUUAUGGAUAGUCUCUCAACAACUGUGAAGAACAUGUGAGAAGCUGUUCCUUAAAAGUACAAGAACAAAAUGCUG